UACGGGGGGAGCAAGCGUUGUUCGGAUUUACUGGGCGUAAAGGGCGCGUAGGCGGUCAGCACAAGUCAGCUGUGAAAUCUCCGGGCUUAACUCGGAAAGGUCAACUGAUACUGUGCGACUAGAGUGCAGAAGGGGCAACUGGAAUUCUCGGUGUAGCGGUGAAAUGCGUAGAUAUCGAGAGGAACACCUGCGGCGAAGGCGGGUUGCUGGGCUGACACUGACGCUGAGGCGCGAAAGCCAGGGGAGCGAACGGG
Molecule: ribosomal RNA, 254 nt
Filed under: uncultured bacterium
Lineage: Bacteria
Description: partial 16S ribosomal RNA
Rfam family: Bacterial small subunit ribosomal RNA
Source: RNAcentral